This is a long non-coding RNA of Oncorhynchus tshawytscha (Chinook salmon), 530 nucleotides long. NCBI's taxonomy places the organism in Eukaryota, Metazoa, Chordata, Actinopteri, Salmoniformes, Salmonidae. The record is from Ensembl.
CAGGGUACUGGGUGGAGGCUGGAUAGUGACAGUGACUAAGGUUCAGGACCGGGUACUGGGUGGAGCCUGGAUAGUGACAGUGACUAAGGUUCAGGGCAGGGUACACGGUGGAGGCUGGAUAGUUACAGUAACUAAGGUUCAGGGCAGGGUACUGGGGAAGGCUAGUAACAGUGACUAAGGUUCAGGGCAGGGUACACGGUGGAGGCUGGAUAGUUACAGUAACUAAGGUUCAGGGCAGGGUACACGGUGGAGGCUGGAUAGUGACAGUGACUAAUGUUCAGGGCAGGGUACUGGGUGGAGGCUGGCUAGUAACAGUGACUAAGGUUCAGGACAGGGUACUGGGUAGAGGCUGGAUAGUGGUAACUAAUGUUCAGGACAGGGUACUGGGUGGAGGCUGGAUAGGGAAAGUGACUAAGGAUCCCUAUUUAUCCUGAAUACACACCACUCUGAUAUAGGAUCCCUAUUUAUCCUGAAUACACAACACUCUGAUAUAGGAUCCCUAUUUAUCCUGAAUACACACCACUCUGAUG